Molecule: long non-coding RNA, 455 nt
Organism: Microplitis mediator
Lineage: Eukaryota; Metazoa; Arthropoda; Insecta; Hymenoptera; Braconidae
Exons: 3
Source: RefSeq, a predicted model, not a curated record
CAUUGGUUGCUAAAUUUUCCCACUUCGAAUUUUCCGACUCCCACCAUUAAUUAUUGUAAAGCCACGUCUCACGCCAAAAUGUAUUAAAACUGAUAUUUUAGUGCACAGAAGCACAUCAGUAAAAAUUACUAAACUUAAACAUUGUCCUGUCUUUUUGAUAAAUCGUCAAAAACAAUGAAAAUUUUGAAAAUGACUAAACUGUUGAUAUUUGCACUUUUGAUGAUCGCAUUGGUAGCAGUUGUUACUGCUGAAGGUUGUGAUGGACAAAAGUGUAACAUGAACAAAGAAAAGUAUUGCUGCAAAAAUUAUCGUUGUACAAAAAGAAAGGCCCCAGGUACCUGCGUUCCUUGGUAGACUCCAGGAAAACAAAUGGGAAGUUUAUCUUGUAAUUACAAGUAAUAGGCAAAUGUACUACUUCCUUAAUAAAUAAACUGACAUUUGCACUGCAAAAAAAA